Molecule: ribosomal RNA, 872 nt
Filed under: Fomitiporia punicata
Lineage: Eukaryota; Fungi; Basidiomycota; Agaricomycetes; Hymenochaetales; Hymenochaetaceae
Description: eukaryotic LSU rRNA
Rfam family: Eukaryotic large subunit ribosomal RNA
Source: RNAcentral
UAACAAGGAUUCCCCUAGUAACUGCGAGUGAAGCGGGAAGAGCUCAAAUUUAAAAUCUGGCAGUCUUCUGGCUGUCCGAGUUGUAAUCUGGAGAAGCGUUUUCUGUGUUAGACCGUGUACAAGUCUCCUGGAACGGAGCGUCAUAGAGGGUGAGAAUCCCGUCCAUGACACGGACUACUAAUACUUUGUGAUACGCUCUCGAAGAGUCGAGUUGUUUGGGAAUGCAGCUCAAAAUGGGUGGUAAAUUCCAUCUAAAGCUAAAUACAGGCGAGAGACCGAUAGCGAACAAGUACCGUGAGGGAAAGAUGAAAAGCACUUUGGAAAGAGAGUUAAACAGUACGUGAAAUUGUUGAAAGGGAAACGCUUGAAGUCAGUCGCGUUGUGCAGAACUCAGCCUUGCCUCGGCUUGGUGUACUUUCUGCACAACGGGUCAACAUCAAUUUUGGCCCAUGGAGAAAGGUGGGGGGAAUGUAGCGCUGUUUCGGCAGCGUGUUAUAGCCCUCUAUUGUAUACAUGGGCUGGGAUUGAGGAUCGCAGCACGCCCUUGUGGCCGGGGGUUCGCCCUACGUACCGUGCUUAGGAUGUUGGCAGAAUGGCUUUAAGCGACCCGUCUUGAAACACGGACCAAGGAGUCUAACAUGCUUGCGAGUGUUCGGGUGGAAAACCCUUGUGCAUAAUGAAAGUGAAAGUUGGGAACCUCCGCAAGGGGGUGCACCGACGCCCGGCCCUGACGUUCUCUGACGGUGCUGCGGUAGAGCAAGUAUGCUAGGACCCGAAAGAUGGUGAACUAUGCCUGAAUAGGGCGAAGCCAGAGGAAACUCUGGUGGAGGCUCGUAGCGAUUCUGACGUGCAAAUCGAUCGUCAAAUUUGGG